AGUGAACGCUGGCGGUAGGCCUAACACAUGCAAGUCGAACGGCAGCACAGUAAGAGCUUGCUCUUACGGGUGGCGAGUGGCGGACGGGUGAGGAAUACAUCGGAAUCUACUUUUUCGUGGGGGAUAACGUAGGGAAACUUACGCUAAUACCGCAUACGACCUACGGGUGAAAGCAGUGGAUCUUCGGACCUUGCGCGAUUGAAUGAGCCGAUGUCGGAUUAGCUAGUUGGCGGGGUAAAGGCCCACCAAGGCGACGAUCCGUAGCUGGUCUGAGAGGAUGAUCGGCCACACUGGAAGUUAGACACGGUCAAGAGUCCUGAGGGAGGCAGCAGUGGGGAAUAUUGGACAGUGGGGGCAAGCCUGAUCCAGUCAUACCGAGUGGGUGAAGAAGGCCUUCGGGUUGUAAAGCCCUUUUGUUGGGAAAGAAAAGCAGCAGGUUAAUACCACGCUGUUCUGACGGUAACCAAAGAAUAAGCACCGGCUAACUUCGUG
This 492-nucleotide ribosomal RNA is filed under the name uncultured bacterium. RNAcentral describes it as "partial 16S ribosomal RNA". It matches the Rfam family "Bacterial small subunit ribosomal RNA", at positions 29 to 507 of the family's 1533-position model. The record is from RNAcentral.